ACAGGGAGGUGCGCAUUCGGAACGCUUCCCGGCGACUGACUGUAGUACACUAUGGCAGUCACUCAAAGAUCGAAGAUGAUGUUUCUCGUCUUCUCAUAACCAUCGUGGGCGUGGCUUGCGACGGACACGCCCUCCACACGUCCUGGGCACAAAUCGACCAGCUAUGGAAGGACGAAGCCGAGGCCAUAGCACGGAUACAGACGACAGUGCAUUCACUGAACAAAUUAAAUGAAGUACUGAAAAGAUACGUCGCGUCAUGGGAGGACCUCACAGGAGGAGGCGACGCGGGGGCGAGGAGCGGAGACCCAGCGGCUGCCUACUCCUUACUCCAUCACGUGUCAAGAGGCUGGAAACACGUCGACUCAGCGCUGCAGGAAACCAAGGGAAUUUUCGGUGACAUUGAAUACUUGGCUUCGCGUCCGGACAGAGAACUGCUUCCGAACACCGACGACUUGAUUGGCGCGUCCGAAUCCCUGGCGAGACUGGCGCAUGUGUAUCGUCUCAAUACUACCGAAUUGGCACGCGGGAGUCUUUAUACUGCAGUGGACCAGGAAAGG
Long non-coding RNA from Penaeus chinensis, 557 nucleotides. RefSeq lists it as uncharacterized. NCBI's taxonomy places the organism in Eukaryota, Metazoa, Arthropoda, Malacostraca, Decapoda, Penaeidae. The transcript has 4 exons. The record is from RefSeq and is a predicted model, not a curated record.